This 6412-nucleotide unclassified non-coding RNA is filed under the name Apis dorsata (giant honeybee). RNAcentral's name for it is "neuralized-like protein 4, transcript variant X3". Lineage: Eukaryota; Metazoa; Arthropoda; Insecta; Hymenoptera; Apidae. The record is from RNAcentral.
AAAGAGAUAGAAAAUAUACAAGAGUUAUUAGUUGAAAGAAGAUAGAAAGAUAGUGGAAAGAAGAAGGCAAUGUACGGUUUGGUUAUAUGUCGAUGGUUGGUGCACAACAAAUGGUCGACAUGUUUCAUCAACGAUGCGGUCGUCGUGUAACUUUAACAAACAACAAUUGCACAGCCAUACGGGAUUUUUCAGAAUAUAAUUAUGGAUUGGUUCUCAGUGCUGAACCACUUAAGGAUGAUGAACUUUUUGAAAUUCGCAUUGAUAAAAAGAUGACAUCAUGGAGUGGUAGUAUAGAAAUUGGAGUAACAGAAUGUGAUCCAGAAAUAAUGGAAUUACCAGCUUGUGCCACUAAUCUACGACAAGGAACAUGGAUUAUGUCUGAUUCUGGCAUAAUGCAUGAUGGUAUAAGAACAGUAGAAAUGUAUGGAAUGGAUCUGAAUGAAUUAGAAGAAGGAAGUACAUUAGGAGUAAUGAGAACAUCUAAUCAUGAAUUGAUAUUUUAUAUUAAUGGUGUUUCUCAAGGAGUAGCUGUAUGCAAUAUUCCAGAACGCAUUUUUGCAGUAAUAGACAUGUAUGGUGAUUGUGUACAAGUGACUAUAACUCAUCCUCAAAUUGCUGCUACUUUAUGUAAUGAACCAAAAGAUGAAGUUGAAAUUAAUAAUGAUUAUGCUCUUGGAGAAGCAUCUAAUUCCUCAACAACUAAUCUAGUCGCUAAUUUGAAUGUCAAUUUAAAUGUUAAUGUUAAUGUUAAUUUACCUAAAAACCCAAGUCCUGCUGCCAUUAGAGAAGAUAGAUUGAGAUUUCAUGAGAGAGUUGGCUCACUUGUAAAGUUAUCUAAUAAUGCUAGAACUGCAGAAAGGCGCAGACCUUUAGAUGAAUUUAAUAAUGGAGUAGUAAUGACACACAGACCAUUACGGGAUAAUGAAUUAUUUGAGGUACGAAUUGAUAGACUUGUACACAAAUGGUCAGGCAGUAUAGAAGUUGGAGUUACUAUGCACAGUCCAACAGCAUUAGAAUUUCCAGCCACAAUGACUAAUAUGCGAUCAGGUACAACAAUGAUGUCUGGCUGUGGAAUUUUAGUAAAUGGAAAGGGCACUUGUCGUGAAUAUGGAGAAUUUAAUUUAGAUGAAUUAAGGGAAGGUGAUAGAGUAGGUAUGAUAAGACGAAGUAAUGGAAAUCUUCAUUAUUUAAUAAAUGGAUUGGAUCAAGGUAUUGCUGCUAAAGUACCUGCUGGUGUAUGGGGUGUUAUAGAUUUGUAUGGUAUGACAGUAAAAGUAACAAUUGUUGAUCGUGAUGAAAGGGAAGAACAAAAUCUAGUUACUAGAAGAAAUACAUUACAAUUGCAAGGCUUAAAUGAAGAAGAACCACCAGACAGACUUAUGUUUCAUUCUUGUUGCGGUACGCAUGUCGAAGUAAUUAAUAAUGGACGUACUGCGCAUAGGCCUAAUGUAAUGGAUGACUUCAACAAUGGUGUUGUAUUGACUUCAAGACCAUUGAAACCAAAUGAAUUAUUCGAAGUAAGAUUGGAUAAAAUUGUAACAAAGUGGGCAGGAUCUAUUGAAAUAGGAAUUACCACUCAUUCUCCAACCGAAUUAGAAUUUCCCUUCACUAUGACAAAUGUUAGAUCCGGCACGUGGAUGAUGACAGAAAAUGGAGUUAUGCAUAAUGGCACUACCAUAAUAGAUCAAUAUGGUCAAAAUCUUGAUAGAUUACAAGUCGGAGAUCGUGUAGGUGUAAUGCGAAAAGAAAACGCAACGUUACAUUUUUACGUAAACGGUGCUGAUCAAGGAGCCGCAGCAAUGAACGUGCCUGAGAAAGUUUACGGUGUUAUAGAUCUUUAUGGCCAGGCAGCACAAGCAACUAUAGUUUAUAAUACAGACUUCUAUAGUCCUACCACAAAUAAUUCAAGUUUUAGCAAUACAACAUUAUAUAGUGAUUUGAGGUUUCAUCAUAUACAUAGUAAAAAUGCAAAAAUAAUAAACAAUGGAUUAACUGCAUUAAGGCCUAGAGCUUUAGGAGAAUUCAACGAAGCCAUUGUAAUCGCAAAUCGCGCACUACGUGAUGGCGAAAUGUUUGAAGUGACAAUUGAUAAAAUGGUUGAUAGAUGGACAGGAGCAAUUGAAGCAGGUGUAACUCUUAUAAGACCUGAUGAAUUGGAAUUUCCAUCUACUAUGACAGAUAUUGAUCACGAUACUUGGAUGUUAUCUGGAUCUAACGUUAUGCGAGAUGGUGUUAUUUUAAGAAAUAAUUAUGCUUGUGAUUUAGAUAAAUUAGUAGAAGGUAAUCGCAUUGGUAUGAUGCGAUGUUCAGAUAGUAGUUUGCAUUAUUAUUUAGAUGGAGUAGAUCAGGGACCUGCUUGUACAGGUGUACCGUCACAUAUCUAUCCUGUGAUUGAAUUAUAUGGACAAUGUGUUCAGGUUACAAUUGUACAACCAGAACGUAGAGAUCCAAUUACACAACAGUAUUUGCCAUCAGAAAACAGUACUAGUCAACAACCUACAUCUGUAAUUCAGCUUCAAGCUCAAACAGAAAUAAUGCAUAAAUUUCAUGAAUCUGUUGGCUUAAAUGUUCAAUUAAAUAGUGAUAGGACAGUAGCAACUAGGUGUAGAGAAUAUAAUAAUGCUAUAUUAUUAAGUGAAACACCAUUAGAGAAUAAUGAACUUUUUGAAAUUGCUAUUCAAGAAGUUGCUCGUCAAUGGAGUGGUUGUUUAAGGAUAGGUGUUGUAAAAAAUGAAAGUGGAAAUUGGUUAACAUCUAUGAAUCUUGUACCUGGCAUGGGAUCUAUUUCAACAGAUGCAUGGUAUUUAACAGGUAAUGAAGUAAGACAUAAUGGUUAUGUUUUAUGUAUAAAUUAUUGUCCAAGUUUGGAAUGGCUGCGUGUUGGUGAUAAAAUUGGAUUGAAACGUACUCAUGAAGGUAAUUUAAAGUUUUAUAUAAAUGGAGAGGACAUGGGUAUAGCGGCAUCAGGCAUACCGGAAAUGGUGUAUGCUGUGAUCGAUCUUUUUGGUAGUACAGUGGCUGUAAAUAUAACAAGUAGUAAACAACAAAACAAUGUAGUAUCUCCAAAUGCAAGCUUGAGAUUACAAGAUUCUUUGGAAUUAUUGUUAGAUCCUAUGCCGCCUGUUUUGCGAAAUGAUGCUGGAAUGGACACAUCUAUAGAUAUAUCUGAAGGAAAAUUAGUAAAUGAUACAAUACUUACACCGACACAAUCUGCAGCUCAUUUGACAGGAGAAAAUGAUUGGAAUUAUGAAUUUCAUGAAAAUCAUGGUAGAAACAUUCAACUUGAAAGUAAAACAAUUGCACGAAGAGUUGCAAGUUAUAAUCAAGGAGUGGUAAUGUCUAGUCGACCCUUAAUGAAAGCUAAGCCAUUUUUGGUGAAAAUAGAGAAAUUGAACAAACGAUGGGUAUCUAAUAUUUAUUGUGGUGUAACUUGCAUUUCACCUGAAAAAGCUAAUUUUCCUUUAACUGCUCUUGGCUUUAAAAAGCAUUCUUGGAUUAUUUGUAGUGAUUGGAUAUCACAUAAUGGUAUAAGAGUAAAAACAAAGUAUGGACUUGCUUUAGAAAAUCUUCAUGUUAAUUCCGUAGUGGGUGUAUUUAUUGAUGACGAUAAUAGAUUACAUUUAAUUAUCAAUGGCAUAGAUCAAGGUGUAGCUGCAACAGAUUUACCACCUUAUGUUUAUGCUGUAUUUGAUCUAUAUGGACAGUGCGAACAAAUUUCCAUUGUUUCAAAUAAUGGAGAACCGUUUUCAUCUACUACUGUUAGUAAUACCCUCACAUCUGUAGAAUGUAUAAAGACAAAGCUGGAGGAUACAGAAAAUUCAAGAGAGAAAGCAGAUUUAGAAUGUCAUGAGAAAGAAAAUAUUAUGGCAGCUACUUCUUCAGAUCUAUCUUCCUCCACUUCGCCAAGUGUGCCGAGUCAAUGCAAUUCAAAUGUUAAAGAUGAUGAUAUUGUAGGAUAUACAACGCGUAAUAAUGAUAAUAUGCAUUUAACAAAUAAUAUUGAAAAUAAAGCAGUGCCCAGUAUCUCAGACAGUAAUAAUUUAGAUUCGAAUUCAGAUAUAAAUCAUGAUACAACACGAAGUAUUAAAAACAAAUCUUAUGAUAAUUCAAAUCAGUUAAAUAAUAGUGCGAUAUUGAAUAGUCAAUCAGAAAAUUUGAGUAUUAGAAAUGAAUGUACAAAUGUAGAAAUAAAUAACGCAACUAAUAUUAAUAUUAAAAAUGGCACUGCAAACAGCACCAGUAACAUAACUAACUUAAAUACUAACACUAAUAAUGCGAUAAACGAAAGCAUAAUGUCUAAUAGUCAAGGGAAUAAUAUGAGUUCCUUGCAUCAAAAUAAUGCAUCUGUUAAUAUGUUAAAUUCAUCUCAGACAUUUUCCUCUCAUAAUACAUUAAAUAACGCAACAUCUGAAAUUUCGAAUACUGUUUCUUCUAGUUUCAACGAAAUGCGAUCAAAUAUAUCUUGGAAUAACAUCGUAUCUGUUGAUAAUUCUGUCAGUGGAAAUACAAUUUUAGGACAAAAUACAGUCUCUAUUUACAAUAUACCUUCUAUGUUACAUUCAUCGUUACCGUCCACUCCUCUUGGAACAAAUAUAAUAUCCACAAAAAAGUGUGAAUAUUUAAAGGCGUGUAUGAGAUUAAAAAAAUCACUUGUUUUACCAGAUGAAUUCUUUUCUUUAGAAGAUAUACUAUGUUAUUGUAACAAUUGUUAUAAAGUAGAAGGGGAUAGUGCAAUAUGUAAGAAAGGUGAACCACCAGCAGAGUUUGCUGUACCAAUUGGAUGGACCAGAUUUCCUUUGAAACAAAGUAUUAAUGCUAAUCAAAUUCCACAAAAUACAAUUGAUAAAUGGCAUGUUGCUUUUUAUGGCAUACGUCUGGACGCAAUUAGAUUAAUUUUGGAUACAGGAGAAUUAAUGCCAAAAGAACAAUUAGAUUUGAGUAAUUUAACAAUGAAUAUAAAAAUGGAAGAUCAAAAUCCUCAAGUAGUUUUCUCUCCUAGUAUAAAAUAUGCAGCAUCCGAAGAAUUUACCAAAAAAUAUCCAUAUAUCGAUACUCAAUCAAAUAAAAAGUUAAAUGCAUCUACAGCAUUUCAAUUAUUAGUAAGGCCUGGCUCAUAUACAAUCAAUUCUGGUAGUAAAGAUAGUGAUGAUUCACAAUUUCAAUCUGUCAAAUGGGCUACUAAAGAAGCUGGAGCUACAGUUAUCAUGGCUCUUUUAAUUCAUCUUGAUGGAUUUUAAUUUAUAUAAUACGAAAGUGAGAAAACAUUUCAUAUGCGACUGUUACGAGAAAUACACUUUCGUUUAAAGUUGACGAAUGAGCAGGAGGCAAUAGCCAUACCAUUUCCAGUAACGCUAAGCGAUGUUACACGAUUUUCGUGGCCCGUCAAAACACCUUUGAAUGAAAGAAUAUGAAUCUUCCGCUUAAAGAUAAACCACAAGAUGUAUAUCCGGGAUUUGAAUUUGAAGGUUUAAAGGUAGCUAAUUGUUGAUCCGAUCUUAGAUCCCACAAUCUCGCUGUUUUAUCUUCCGAAGCUGUUACAAAAGCUUGUCCCGAAGGAUGAUACUAAAUAGAACAUAAUUUUUUGCAAAUAAGAUAUGGAUACAUUUUCAUAUCACCGGAUCCAGUGAUUAUUUUUUUAUCUUCCAAAAAUCUGCAGGAUGAGAGAAAACCUUCGUAUCCUAAUAAUUCUCGAACGAUCUUAGCUGAUCCUGUGGCAUCACGAUUGUUCACAUCAUAGAUAGUACACAUAUUGUCCAUACCACCACAAGCAACGAAAUUUCCCGAGGGUGCAAAAGCUACUGACAUUACCCAUGCUGAGCGCAAUGGGAUUACUUGGACUUUGUUUCCAGUCCAUGAAUCCCAAAUAAUCAAUUUUCCGUCCAGUGAACCAGUCACGCAAUGUCUAAAAAGAGAUACUUAUUUAGAUCAUUCAAGAUUGGAGUGUUGCGGUUGAUUUCUUGGGAUAAAGAUCAAAAGAUCGAUAUUCAAUACUGACCUACUAUCACCACUAUAAUGUACCGAAUUUACUUUAUUGAUAUGUCCCUUUAAUAAUUUUUUAGUAGAUAAUUUAACUUUUGGAGCAUCUGCUACACUACUACAUGUUUCCUCCAAAGUUGUAUCUUGUUGUUUCUUUUGAUCUUCCUGAUAUGCAAUAGAACAAGUUUUCAAUUGAUAUCAAGGUAUGAUAUUAAAAUUUUUUCUAUUUUAAUUAAAAAAUAUUUUUCUAAUACAACCUUGCAUCUAUUGAUCAAAUCUUCUAGCUCUUUUUUUAAAGCUAUGGUUUCUGCAUCAUCCUUCCCCAUUUUCUAUUUAAAUCUUACUUUAUUUGGAAACUUAUCAAGGAACUGAGAUUGAAACACCAACUAUGAUAGACGUAGGAAUACUGCGAAUAAAUUUUUAUCAAAAUGUAAAA